GAGGGGGUGCUUUAGUACUAGUAGCUGACUUCCUAUGCAAGUGCUUUUCAGGAAAACUAGCCAACCUCACUUUGUAUUUUGGACAGCUGUUGCUAAUUGAUUCUCAUAUAUUUUGGCAUUUGAAAAUCCUCAUUUCUGUUGUUGUGAUAUCCCACACAACCUUGCAAUUAUGUAUGGGGACAUGCUGAAAAACUGGGCAGCCUUUAAUUAAAUGGAAAUUAUGAACUUAUAUUUUGGAUAGCCUUUCAUUUCUUAGUUUUAUCAUCUUAUAUUCAUUUCUUAUGAACUUUAGAAUGUUUGUUUUGAUGGAAAUUGUGAACUUAUAUGCAUGCUGGAAACUGGACAGCUUUUGAUUAAAUGAAAAUUAUGAACUUGUAUUUUGGGCA
Molecule: long non-coding RNA, 386 nt
Organism: Prunus persica (peach)
Lineage: Eukaryota; Viridiplantae; Streptophyta; Magnoliopsida; Rosales; Rosaceae
Exons: 2
Source: RefSeq, a predicted model, not a curated record